GACACUUUGGCCGAGUGGUUAAGGCGUGUGACUUGAAUAUGAAUACUUAUGUAUUCGAGUCGAUAUCACAUACGUUCGCGUUCGCAGGUUCGAAUCCUGCAGGUGUCG
This 108-nucleotide transfer RNA is filed under the name Aspergillus glaucus CBS 516.65. It matches the Rfam family "tRNA". From Rfam's summary of the family: Transfer RNA (tRNA) molecules are approximately 80 nucleotides in length. Their secondary structure includes four short double-helical elements and three loops (D, anti-codon, and T loops). Lineage: Eukaryota; Fungi; Ascomycota; Eurotiomycetes; Eurotiales; Aspergillaceae. The record is from Rfam by way of RNAcentral.